GAUGAACGCUGGCGGCGUGCCUAAUACAUGCAAGUCGAGCGAACAGACGAGGAGCUUGCUCCUCUGACGUUAGCGGCGGACGGGUGAGUAACACGUGGAUCACCUACCUAUAAGACUGGGAUAACUUCGGGAAACCGGAGCUACUACCGGAUAAUAUAUUGAACCGCAUGGUUCAAUAGUUAAAGACGGUUUUGCUGUCACUUAUAGAUGGAUCGGGGCUGCAUUAGCUAGUUGGUAAGGUAACGGCUUACCAAGGCAACGAUGCGUAGCCGACCUGAGAGGGUGAUCGGCCACACUGGAACUGAGACACGGUCCAGACUCCUACGGGAGGCAGCAGUAGGGAAUCUUCCGCAAUGGGCGAAAGCCUGACGGAGCAACGCCGCGUGAGUGAUGAAGGUCUUCGGAUCGUAAAACUCUGUUAUUAGGGAAGAACAAAUGUGUAAGUAACUAUGCACGUCUUGACGGUACCUAAUCAGAAAGCCACGGCUAACUACGUG
Molecule: ribosomal RNA, 497 nt
Filed under: uncultured bacterium
Lineage: Bacteria
Description: partial 16S ribosomal RNA
Rfam family: Bacterial small subunit ribosomal RNA
Source: RNAcentral